UGCAGGCUGCAACUCGCCUGCACGAAGUUGGAAUUGCCAGUAAUCGUGGAUCAGCAUGCCACGGUGAAUACGUUCCCGGGUCUUGUACACACCGCCCGUCACACCAUGGGAGCCGGUAAUACCCGAAGUCAGUAGUCUAACCGCAAGGAGGACGCUGCCGAAGGUAGGAUUGGCGACUGGGGUGAAGUCGUAACAAGGUACC
RNAcentral lists this ribosomal RNA (202 nucleotides) under uncultured bacterium. RNAcentral's name for it is "partial 16S ribosomal RNA". It matches the Rfam family "Bacterial small subunit ribosomal RNA", at positions 1299 to 1500 of the family's 1533-position model. The record is from RNAcentral.